GGUCUCGUGGUGUACCGGUUAACAUGCCUCUCUGUCACAGAGGAGAUUGCGAGUUCGAUUCUCGUCGGGACCGCCA
This 76-nucleotide transfer RNA is filed under the name bacterium. RNAcentral's name for it is "tRNA-Asp". It matches the Rfam family "tRNA". From Rfam's summary of the family: Transfer RNA (tRNA) molecules are approximately 80 nucleotides in length. The record is from RNAcentral.